CCUACGGGAGGCAGCAGUGAGGAAUAUUGGUCAAUGGACGAGAGUCUGAACCAGCCAAGUAGCGUGAAGGAUGACUGCCCUAUGGGUUGUAAACUUCUUUUAUAUGGGAAUAAAAUGUUCCACGUGUGGGCUUUUGUAUGUACCAUAUGAAUAAGGAUCGGCUAACUCCGUGCCAGCAGCCGCGGUAAUACGGAGGAUCCUAGCGUUAUCCGGAUUUAUUGGGUCUAAAGGGAGCGUAGGUGGAUUGUUAAGUCAGUUGUGAAAGUUUGCGGCUCAACCGUAAAAUUGCAGUUGAAACUGGCAGUCUUGAGUACAGUAGAGGUGGGCGGAAUUCGUGGUGUAGCGGUGAAAUGCUUAGAUAUCACGAAGAACUCCGAUUGCGAAGGCAGCUCACUGGACUGCAACUGACACUGAGGCUCGAAAGUGUGGGUAUCAAACAGGAUUAGAUACCCUUGUAGUC
Molecule: ribosomal RNA, 460 nt
Filed under: uncultured bacterium
Lineage: Bacteria
Description: partial 16S ribosomal RNA
Rfam family: Bacterial small subunit ribosomal RNA
Source: RNAcentral